This 253-nucleotide ribosomal RNA is filed under the name uncultured bacterium. Its description in RNAcentral is "partial 16S ribosomal RNA". It matches the Rfam family "Bacterial small subunit ribosomal RNA", at positions 524 to 776 of the family's 1533-position model. The record is from RNAcentral.
UACAGAGGUCUCAAGCGUUGUUCGGAUUCAUUGGGCGUAAAGGGUGCGUAGGUGGCAUGGUAAGUCGGAUGUGAAAUCCCGGGGCUCAACCCCGGGCCUGCAGUGGAUACGGGCUGGCUAGAGGCAGGCAGGGGAGAACGGAAUUCCUGGUGUAGCGGUGAAAUGCGCAGAUAUCAGGAGGAACACCGGUGGCGAAGGCGGUUCUCUGGGCAUUACCUGACGCUGAGGAGCGAAAGUGUGGGGAGCGAACAGG